This 237-nucleotide ribosomal RNA is filed under the name Saprinodes distinctus. Its description in RNAcentral is "partial 16S ribosomal RNA". The record is from RNAcentral. Lineage: Eukaryota; Metazoa; Arthropoda; Insecta; Coleoptera; Histeridae.
UCUGGUAUGGAAAGUUUGACGAGGGAACAACUGUCUCAGUUUAAAUUUUAUAGAAAUUUAUUUUUAAGUUAAAAAGCUUAAAUAUAUUUAGAAGACGAGAAGACCCUAUAGAGUUUUAUAAAUUAAUUUAGUUAAUAUUUUUUAGUAUAUUUUGAAUUAGUUAAAUUGUUUUAUUUAGUUGGGGUGAUUGAAAAAUUAAAAUAACUUUUUUUUUUUAAAACAAAUAUUUUUGAUUAA